This 253-nucleotide ribosomal RNA is filed under the name uncultured bacterium. RNAcentral's name for it is "partial 16S ribosomal RNA". It matches the Rfam family "Bacterial small subunit ribosomal RNA", at positions 524 to 776 of the family's 1533-position model. The record is from RNAcentral.
UACGUAGGGGGCAAGCGUUAUCCGGAUUUACUGGGUGUAAAGGGAGCGUAGACGGCAGCGCAUGUCUGGAGUGAAAUGCCGGGGCCCAACCCCGGAACUGCUUUGGAAACUGUGCAGCUCGAGUGCAGGAGAGGUAAGCGGAAUUCCUAGUGUAGCGGUGAAAUGCGUAGAUAUUAGGAGGAACACCAGUGGCGAAGGCGGCUUACUGGACUGUAGCUGACGUUGAGGCUCGAAAGCGUGGGGAGCAAACAGG